GAUAGGACUUGCUCCUUGAGCGGCCGACAGCCUCAGAAACCAGGCCCCUGCAACUGUUUAUUAAAAACAUAGCACUCUGCAAACACGAAAGUGGACGUAUAGGGUGUGAUGCCUGCCCGGUGCUGGAAGGUUAAUUGAUGGGGUUAGCGUAAGCGAAGCUCUUGAUCGAAGCCCCAGUAAACGGCGGCCGUAACAAUAACGGUCCUAAGGUAGCGAAAUUCCUUGUCGGGUAAGUUCCGACCUGCACGAAUGGCAUAAUGAUGGGGGCGCUGUCUCCAGCAGAGACUCAGUGAAAUCGAAAUCGCCGUGAAGAUGCGGUGUACCCGCGGCUAGACGGAAAGACCCCGUGAACCUUUACUGCAGCUUGACAUUGAACUUUGAUCUUACUUGUGUAGGAUAGGUGGGAGGCUUUGAAGUCGCGACGCUAGUUGCGAUGGAGCCGUCCUUGAAAUACCACCCUGGUAAUAUUGAGGUUCUAACUCUGUCCCGUUAUCCGGGACGAGGACCAUGUCUGGUGGGUAGUUUGACUGGGGCGGUCUCCUCCUAAAGAGUAACGGAGGAGUACGAAGGUGCGCUCAGCGUGGUCGGAAAUCACGCGUAGAGUAUAAAGGCAAAAGCGCGCUUAACUGCGAGACCAACAAGUCGAGCAGGUACGAAAGUAGGUCUUAGUGAUCCGGUGGUUCUGUAUGGAAGGGCCAUCGCUCAACGGAUAAAAGGUACUCUGGGGAUAACAGGCUGAUACCGCCCAAGAGUUCAUAUCGACGGCGGUGUUUGGCACCUCGAUGUCGGCUCAUCUCAUCCUGGGGCUGAAGCAGGUCCCAAGGGUAUGGCUGUUCGCCAUUUAAAGAGGUACGCGAGCUGGGUUUAGAACGUCGUGAGACAGUUCGGUCCCUAUCUACCGUGGGCGCUGGAAAUUUGAGAGGAUCUGCUCCUAGUACGAGAGGACCAGAGUGGACGAACCUCUGGUGUACCGGUUGUGACGCCAGUCGCAUCGCCGGGUAGCUAUGUUCGGAAGGGAUAACCGCUGAAAGCAUCUAAGCGGGAAGCCCACCUUAAGAUUAGAUUUCCCCGAGACUUUAUGUCUCCUAAAGAGCCGUUGAAGACUACGACGUUGAUAGGUUGGAUGUGGAAGCAUAGUGAUAUGUGAAGCUGACCAAUACUAAUUGCUCGUGAGGCUUGACUGA
Molecule: ribosomal RNA, 1184 nt
Filed under: Alosa alosa (allis shad)
Lineage: Eukaryota; Metazoa; Chordata; Actinopteri; Clupeiformes; Clupeidae
Description: bacterial LSU rRNA
Rfam family: Bacterial large subunit ribosomal RNA
Source: RNAcentral